UACGUAGGCAGCAAGCGUUGUUCGGAAUUACUGGGCGUAAAGCGUGCGUAGACGGUUAUGUAAGUCGGGUGUGAAAGCCCCGGGCUCAACCUGGGAAUUGCAUUCGAGACUGCAUAGCUAGGAUGCGGAAGAGGGAAGUGGAAUUUCCGGUGUAGCGGUGAAAUGCGUAGAUAUCGGAAGGAACAUCAGUGGCGAAAGCGACUUCCUGGUCCAGCAUCGACGUUCAGGCACGAAAGCGUGGGGAGCAAACAGG
This 253-nucleotide ribosomal RNA is filed under the name uncultured bacterium. RNAcentral describes it as "partial 16S ribosomal RNA". It matches the Rfam family "Bacterial small subunit ribosomal RNA", at positions 524 to 776 of the family's 1533-position model. The record is from RNAcentral.